This is a long non-coding RNA of Trichogramma pretiosum, 509 nucleotides long. RefSeq lists it as uncharacterized. The transcript is spliced from 2 exons. The record is from RefSeq and is a predicted model, not a curated record. NCBI's taxonomy places the organism in Eukaryota, Metazoa, Arthropoda, Insecta, Hymenoptera, Trichogrammatidae.
UGCCCGCACCGCAGCUCGCACUGGUCUCAGUACUCGCUACGCCAAGAAGCUGCUCGCAUACAUACGCGCCGCACGGAUCUCUCUCGCGCGAACUCUCUCGCUUAUUUAACUCAACUGUCGUUCGAGUGCAUUUUCGGCUUGCUUCAACUUUGUCAAAGACUACAUCGAUUGCACACCACCAUGAAAUUGGCUGUGGCUACUAUUCUCGGUGCAGGAGUCAUUGUUGCUACCCUGCUUAACGGGGCCUCCGGUAUUUUGGGCCACGACACGAGUUUCAAAAAUUUUAUGACCAAAAGCCGAGAUCAGACGUCGACAAAACCAUCCAACUGAGCUCUGAGCGGACCGCCCCGAAGCGCCCAGAACGUUCCAUCGAUCAGUGUUCGAUUCACUCAGUAUUCGCAUAAUUCAUCGUCUCAUCGACUCUCGUCUUCGUAGUUUAAGUAGUCAAGUGUUAUGUGUAAGCAGUGUCAUGAAUGUUUAGUUAAAUAAAUGAAUUAAUUUUCAACGAA